This 842-nucleotide long non-coding RNA is filed under the name Monodelphis domestica (gray short-tailed opossum). RNAcentral's name for it is "lncRNA (ENSMODG00000033593.2)". The record is from RNAcentral. Lineage: Eukaryota; Metazoa; Chordata; Mammalia; Didelphimorphia; Didelphidae.
AGAGUGCUGAGUGGGAAAAGGAAAGGCUGAUGUUCCUUGCUCCCUAUUACUAUCUAGAGUUUGAGCCUGGAGAAUUCCUUCUGUGGGAUCUUCAUUCUGGCAGCAAACAUUUAUUAAGUACUUACUUUAUGUCAGGACUAAGGUCUGGGAAUACAAAUUUAAGUAGAAAGGAAAUUCCUGUCCUCAAAGAGCUUAUAUUUUAAUUAUUCCAAUGGAUGAAAAAAAGCCUCAAAGGAAAGUAAAUUGAAGUUAGGGUCUGGGAACCUGGUAUCUAAUGCAGAGGUGUAUGAUCAAGAAAAAUUACCUGGCCUGAGUGCUCUUUUUAAAAGGAGAUUCUGGGAGGAGCCAUCUAAUCAGAGGGAGAGACCUCAGAGGGAGAUGGCACUCAUAUUGAGUGAAUUCCAGGGUUGAGGGGAGCUACUUUUGUUAAAAAGGAAGAAUACUGCCAAGGAACCAUCUUCUUCUGAAUAUGGAUGGUGUUCUUUCUUAUAAGUCCUUCAGAAUUGUCCUGGGCCAUUGCAUUGCUUCUAGUAGAGAAAAGCCUGCAUAUUAUGAGGAUCCUGGUUCAGGCUUCUGCUCUAGCAAAAGCUGAACAUCCAGGUGCUUACAUGGAUGUCAAACAGCCCAGUCAAGCUAUCCAGUUCAAUCCUUCCCUGAGAGACCAAGAAAAGACCAUUGCCUCCUGCUUGUCAUCUUGUUUCAUCUACAGUGUACCCUCCUGUGGCUUUGGAGUCCAAAGGCUGAGGCGCAGAAUUUGUGGCACAUGGGGCAUGGAAUGCCAGUUGUUAUGGGAGGUGCGGUUGUGGCCUGGUGUCAGCAUUCACCCGCAGCGGCGAAAUUGA